GACGAACGCUGGCGGCGCGCUUAACACAUGCAAGUCGAGCGAGAACCUGGGCUUCGGCCCUGGGGACAGCGGCGAACGGGUGAGUAACACGUGGGUAAUCUGCCCUUGACAUCGGGAUAGCCCGGGGAAACCCGGAUUAAUACCGAAUAGCCUCCGGAGCCUUCGGGCGCCGGAGAAAAGGUAGCUUCGGCCUCUGGUCGAGGAUGAGCCCGCGGCGGAUUAGCUUGUGGGCGGGGUAACGGCCCACCAAGGCGACGAGCCGUAGCUGGUCUGAGAGGACGAUCCGCCACACUAGGCCUGGGACACGGCCCAGACUCCUACGGGAGGCAGCAGUGGGGAAUCUGGCGCCAAUGCGGGAAGCCGUGACGCAGAGACGCCGCGUGGGGGAAGAAGGCCUUCGGGUUGUAAACCUCUUUCAGGAGGGACGAAGCCACUCGGGUGAAUAGCCCAGAGGGUGACGGUACCUCCAGAAGAAGCCCCGGCUAACUACGUGCCAGCAGCCGCGGUAA
This 509-nucleotide ribosomal RNA is filed under the name uncultured bacterium. Its description in RNAcentral is "partial 16S ribosomal RNA". It matches the Rfam family "Bacterial small subunit ribosomal RNA", at positions 28 to 523 of the family's 1533-position model. The record is from RNAcentral.